GUGCACUCACAGACAGAAACGGGCAAUCGAGCAAUUAAACUUCAAGAAGCGCAACAAAACGUGUCUCUGCUGGCUGUGGAGUUUAGGCUCCUGCAGGCAGUGACACACGGCAGAACUGUCGAACCCGACGCUGCUGGAGCCUUCACCCUGAGAGGAGUGCAGUACCUACCCCUGCCGUACAGAGAAAGGCCAUUUUGGCAUGUUGCUAUGUUUAGCCUACGUACUAUAAUGAGCUACAACGUAGGCUACACAUCGCGGAGUGAUAUGUUGUUGCAGUUUGAUCCCCAUGCGUUAAUGGUGGAUUCAGUUCGCGGAAACUUUUAAAACAUUGCAAUUUAGAAGAGUAACAUGGAGUUUACUGUGACUUUGGAGACUGUAGACUGGAGUUGGAAACUGAGAAAGAAAGAUAUUGUUUCCUGGAUUUCCUAUCUUUUGGAUAUCACAUGAAUGCAGCACGGGUCUCCAACAUUAGGCCCCGCCCUUUGGAAUGCCAGAAGGCCUUACCCCGCCCCUCUGCAGGGAUACCAUUCAAAAACACACGCGGCUGGGAGGGGAGCACAGGCCGGCGGCAUGAGUGAAAAUCCACCUGUACUGUGACAGCAGAAAGCCUGCAGCUCGAUAAUAAAAAACAUAAACGAACAUAUCUGAGGUAUAUCUCUUAUAUGGCCCUGUCACAGAUUAUCUGACACACAGAUUUAAUGGUUUAAGGUCAGUAAAUUAUAACCUAUAGGUGAUAGGUGAUCAAAAACCCAAUAAAAACCAUGAUGUCUUAUUAUAAGCUUUGGAAACUUAAAAUUGCAUUGUGAUGCAUGUAUAAUAGCACAAGUGCUCUCCCCCUGUCCCUCCGUAAUGCCUGCCCAUGCAACCCUUAUAAAUUUGUAAAACUGUUUGUUUCAUUUUUGCAAAUUGUAGUAUGUUCAAUAGAAAAGCAAAUGGGACUUUCUGCCUCAUUCUCACCAGUGCAAAGAUCUUUGAAUAAAUCCUAUGACUCGUAG
Long non-coding RNA from Micropterus salmoides (largemouth bass), 995 nucleotides. RefSeq lists it as uncharacterized. NCBI's taxonomy places the organism in Eukaryota, Metazoa, Chordata, Actinopteri, Centrarchiformes, Centrarchidae. The record is from RefSeq and is a predicted model, not a curated record. The transcript has 2 exons.